RNAcentral lists this long non-coding RNA (233 nucleotides) under Mytilus galloprovincialis (Mediterranean mussel). The record is from RNAcentral. Lineage: Eukaryota; Metazoa; Mollusca; Bivalvia; Mytilida; Mytilidae.
GUGGUAUUUUCUUUUCACAUGAUGAAAAAUAUUGGCGGAAUUGAUGAUUUUUGUUUCAGUGAUUGGACUAUCAGUUACCUGUAAGAAUCAGUUAUGCUACCUUCAGCUGUCCAAUAUUUUCAAGAAAGAGGAGGGGUAUUCUUAAAAAUAUUGGACAGUUAAAGGUAGCAUAAUGGUUUCUUACAGGUAAAUGAUAGUCCAACCACUGAAAUAAAGAAAUGGCACAACAAUAG